CUGGCUUUUCUCUAGGUUUCUUACUGAAUCGCUGUGCUUGGCCUCACACUAACUUUGAUGAUCUGUUUUAACCUUUGGGCUCCUCAUUCUCUGGCUUCUUUAACUGUAUCUAGUUUGUCCUCACUCUGCAAGAUGUGUGCUAGGGCUGAGCCCUACCAUGACAAGGUCUUGCCAGGUCGCAUUCUUCGGGUUCACAAUGUGAUCAAAUAUCCUGCAGUAGUGCUUUUCUUUUUAUUUUUUAAACUUCUGAUUUGUUUGUAUUUUACACCCCUUCACCCAUUUUUAAAAAGAUGGGAUCUCUGUAGUCCAGGGUGACCUAGAACUGAAAGAUCCGCCUGCUCUGUCUCCUGAAUGCUGUAAUUAAAGGAGUGAAUCACCAUAUAGCCCGUGUUUGAUUUUUAAAGUGAGGCAAGAAAGGAGGCCUGGAGGUGGAGGUCUUUAAGCAAAGAGCUGCCAACAAUUCAACAAAGAGUAUGAGAAAUGGAGGCGAAUUCCAGUGUCUACUGACUGGAUGAUAAGAUUUAACCUCCACACCACAAGACCAGGGGUAGACUGCUGCUGGGUGAAGGUGAGACCAUAGACUUGAUCAUUGAGCAGCCAUUGAUUUCUUCAAAACACCUGAUGCUUGAGGAAGGUGGGUGCCUCCAAGCUCCUUCUCCCUUUCUUACCUUCCUGCCCGGAUUAUAGAUUCCAUGCAGUUUC
Molecule: long non-coding RNA, 702 nt
Organism: Grammomys surdaster
Lineage: Eukaryota; Metazoa; Chordata; Mammalia; Rodentia; Muridae
Exons: 3
Source: RefSeq, a predicted model, not a curated record